This is a non-coding RNA of Cinara cedri, 289 nucleotides long. NCBI's taxonomy places the organism in Eukaryota, Metazoa, Arthropoda, Insecta, Hemiptera, Aphididae. The record is from the annotation of a GenBank genome assembly.
GAACAUAUUCAUUUUAAUGUUAACAUUAUCGCUAUUAUUAGUUACACUUUAAACAUUUUAUUUUUUAUUUUAAUACAGUCACCAUUGUUUAGAUUAGAGCGAAGACGAUGAUCGAAACUGAAGUGAAAAUUAUACUGCAAGAAAUAGACAGGAAGAAAGACAUAACACAGAAACAGAAGCAAGAUACUGGUGAGAAAGUAUUAUCCCGGGUGUCCGAUAACAAACAGAAAAUAAAAUGGGUAUACGUCGUAUACUUCACACUCGUUCAUAUUCUUUCUUUUAUAGGUCU